UAUGGAUUGAUCACAUGACUAACGUCUUCAGGUUAAUAAACGUUCAGUAAACACAAAACUCAAUAGAAAAUUUUGAAAGUUAUGAAUUGUGGAAAUUACUUGAUCUAGGACCUUUACACACGGUGUUCCUCGAAAAGACAAAUGAUGAUAUAUCCCAUCUUUACAUCAGCCUCGUUUUCAUACGCGUUAGAUUCAAUAUGGCGUCAAACCUGACUGAAGUCUGCUGUUUGUACUAAUCAAUCAACGGCACCAAACGAAGAAUUUGGUGUAAGAAGAUUUUUAUUGGGUAUGUAAGCAUUAAUUCCAAUUCAGAGUCCACAUAUUUAACCAAGUACCAACAAUGAGGAAAACUGAGGACGUGUUGAGAGAAGAAACUGAUUGCGAUGAAGCCGACAGAGAUGAGAUUACCGAGCCUUGAAUUUAAGAGUUGAAUUUUCACAAACAGAAAUGGCAGAGCAUUGAGGUGAAAUAUGACCCAGAUGUGCUUUCAAGAGGGAUGCACCCUCAUAAACCCUUUGAACAAGACACACCCAUUUGAUUGAGACACGCCCCCUUAAAGUGACAGGCUGUUUUAAAAACAAGGGCCAUGUAUGUUGAUAUGCACAGGUGUGUCUGUACGUUUGCUAGAAACAUGCACCUUCAUAUGUUUAUUGAUCCGUCACAUAAACACACACACAUACACACACACACACUCACAGUCACUUCCCAAACUCAUUUACACAAACACACACACACACACUUCCCUGUCUGAUGGAGUGUUAAAAUGACACGUUUGAAUGACAACACCCCUGAAAAACCUUCCUUAAUGAGACACACACUUAAUAUAUAAUCAAUAAUCAAUUAUUUUUUCUUCGUUUUCCUAUUGCACUUUAGCAUUUUUUUUUUUUUACAUGUGAUAAAAUUACCAUAUAAAAGAUCCGAUAAACAAUAAAUGUAUAUGUACAUAUAA
This is a long non-coding RNA of Carassius gibelio (silver crucian carp), 949 nucleotides long. RefSeq lists it as uncharacterized. Lineage: Eukaryota; Metazoa; Chordata; Actinopteri; Cypriniformes; Cyprinidae. The transcript is spliced from 2 exons. The record is from RefSeq and is a predicted model, not a curated record.